UGGGGAAUAUUGGGCAAUGGGCGCAAGCCUGACCCAGCAACGCCGCGUGAAGGAAGAAGCUUUCGGGUUGUAAACUUCUUUUAUGAGGGACGAAACAAAUGACGGUACCUCAUGAAUAAGCCACGGCUAACUACGUGCC
This 139-nucleotide ribosomal RNA is filed under the name uncultured bacterium. RNAcentral's name for it is "partial 16S ribosomal RNA". It matches the Rfam family "Bacterial small subunit ribosomal RNA", at positions 355 to 509 of the family's 1533-position model. The record is from RNAcentral.